Podarcis lilfordi (Lilford's wall lizard) is the source of this 535-nucleotide non-coding RNA. NCBI's taxonomy places the organism in Eukaryota, Metazoa, Chordata, Lepidosauria, Squamata, Lacertidae. The record is from the annotation of a GenBank genome assembly.
CACACUGGAAGAGUGGCAGACGCAAUUGAUGGGCUACAUGGAAUUGGCCGAGAUGACUGCCAGGAUCCGAGAUUUGGGAGAAGAAGCAAUGGAGGAGGAUUGGAAAAAAUUUAAAGAUUAUUUACAAAAAUUUUAUAAGUUAUAUGAAUGUUAAGAAUUCGCAUGAUUAGGGAAAUUCAGCUCCAGCAAUAAGAUUAAGGUAUGGGAAACUAAGCUAUAUUAAUGAAAGGACUAAUGUUUAAAAGAACAUUAUAUAUGUUAUUAGUGUAAAUUGACAAUAAGCAUUUUAAACGUAAACCAUAAGUAUUUGAAAGAACAAAAGAAUGCACAAAAUAAGGUUAUAAUUUGCUGAAAAAUUUUAUUGUAAAGAACGCAAGGUGAGGGAGACGUGGGGAAGUCCGGUUGGUUAUGGAAAAAUGCUUUGGAAAGAUGAUUUUUUUCUUUUUCUUUUUCUUUUCUGUUAUUUCUUUGUAUAUCCGACUUUGUAUUUCUAUGUGGAAAAAAUGCAAUAAAAAUAUUUAAAAAAAAAAAAAAA